RNAcentral lists this unclassified non-coding RNA (348 nucleotides) under soil metagenome. RNAcentral describes it as "partial contains 5.8S ribosomal RNA, internal transcribed spacer 2, and large subunit ribosomal RNA". The stretch from base 1 to 120 matches the Rfam family "5.8S ribosomal RNA", at positions 35 to 154 of the family's 154-position model. The record is from RNAcentral.
GAUUAAGAACGUAGCGAAAUGCGAUAAGUAAUGUGAAUUGCAGAAUUCAGUGAAUCAUCGAGUCUUUGAACGCACAUUGCGCCCCCUGGUAUUCCGGGAGGCAUGCCUGUCCGAGCGUCAUUGCUGCCCUCAAGCACGGCUUGUGUGUUGGGCCCCCGUCCCCGGUUUCCCCCGGGGACGGGCCCGAAAGGCAGCGGCGGCACCGCGUCCGGUCCUCGAGCGUAUGGGGCUUUGUCACCCGCUCUGUAGGCCCGGCCGGCGCCAGCCGACACCCAACUUUAUUUCUAAGGUUGACCUCGGAUCAGGUAGGGAUACCCGCUGAACUUAAGCAUAUCAAUAAGCGGAGGA